CGGAGGAGCACGAAGGUUGGCUAAUCCUGGUCGGACAUCAGGAGGUUAGUGCAAUGGCAUAAGCCAGCUUGACUGCGAGCGUGACGGCGCGAGCAGGUGCGAAAGCAGGUCAUAGUGAUCCGGUGGUUCUGAAUGGAAGGGCCAUCGCUCAACGGAUAAAAGGUACUCCGGGGAUAACAGGCUGAUACCGCCCAAGAGUUCAUAUCGACGGCGGUGUUUGGCACCUCGAUGUCGGCUCAUCACAUCCUGGGGCUGAAGUAGGUCCCAAGGGUAUGGCUGUUCGCCAUUUAAAGUGGUACGCGAGCUGGGUUUAGAACGUCGUGAGACAGUUCGGUCCCUAUCUGCCGUGGGCGCUGGAGAACUGAGGGGGGCUGCUCCUAGUACGAGAGGACCGGAGUGGACGCAUCACUGGUGUUCGGGUUGUCAUGCCAAUGGCACUGCCCGGUAGCUAAAUGCGGAAGAGAUAAGUGCUGAAAGCAUCUAAGCACGAAACUUGCCCCGAGAUGAGUUCUCCCUGACUCCUUGAGAGUCCUGAAGGAACGUUGAAGACGACGACGUUGAUAGGCCGGGUGUGUAAGCGCAGCGAUGCGUUGAGCUAACCGGUACUAAUGAACCGUGAGGCUUAACCUU
This 630-nucleotide ribosomal RNA is filed under the name Escherichia coli. RNAcentral describes it as "partial 23S ribosomal RNA". It matches the Rfam family "Bacterial large subunit ribosomal RNA", at positions 2301 to 2925 of the family's 2925-position model. Lineage: Bacteria; Pseudomonadati; Pseudomonadota; Gammaproteobacteria; Enterobacterales; Enterobacteriaceae. The record is from RNAcentral.